This 471-nucleotide ribosomal RNA is filed under the name uncultured bacterium. RNAcentral's name for it is "bacterial SSU rRNA". It matches the Rfam family "Bacterial small subunit ribosomal RNA", at positions 335 to 793 of the family's 1533-position model. The record is from RNAcentral.
ACUCCUACGGGAGGCGAGCAGUGGGGGAACUAUUGGACAAUGGGGGGAACCCCUGAUCCAGCCAUGCCGCGUGUGUGAAGAAGGCCUUUGGUUGUAAAGCACUUUAAGCGAGGAGGAGGCUUACCUGGUUAAUACCUGGGAUAAGUGGACGUUACUCGCAGAAUAAGCACCGGCUAACUCUGUGCCAGCAGCCGCGGUAAUACAGAGGGUGCAAGCGUUAAUCGGAUUUACUGGGCGUAAAGCGCGCGUAGGUGGCUAAUUAAGUCAAAUGUGAAAUCCCCCGAGCUUAACUUGGGAAUUGCAUUCGAUACUGGUUAGCUAGAGUAUGGGAGAGGAUGGUAGAAUUCCAGGUGUAGCGGUGAAAUGCGUAGAGAUCUGGAGGAAUACCGAUGGCGAAGGCAGCCAUCUGGCCUAAUACUGACACUGAGGUGCGAAAGCAUGGGGAGCAAACAGGAUUAGAUACCCUGGUAG